GGGGAAUUGUUCGCAAUGGGCGCAAGCCUGACGACGCAACGCCGCGUGGAGGAUGAAGAUUUUCGGAUCGUAAACUCCUGUCGAAUGGGACGAAUAGAUUGCGGGUUAACAGCCCGUGAUCCUGACGGUACCGUUAAAGGAAACCCCGGCUAACUCCGUGCCAGCAGCCGCGGUAAUACGGGGGGGGUAAGCGUUGUUCGGAAUUACUGGGCGUAAAGGGCUCGUAGGCGGCCAACUAAGUCACACGUGAAAUCCCUCGGCUCAACCGGGGAACUGCGUGUGAGACUGGAUGGCUUGAGUUUGGGAGAGGAAUGCGGAAUUCCAGGUGUAGCGGUGAAAUGCGUAGAUAUCUGGAGGAACACCGGUGGCGAAGGCGGCAUUCUGGACCAACACUGACGCUGAGGAGCGAAAGCCAGGGGAGCAAA
RNAcentral lists this ribosomal RNA (425 nucleotides) under uncultured bacterium. Its description in RNAcentral is "bacterial SSU rRNA". It matches the Rfam family "Bacterial small subunit ribosomal RNA", at positions 356 to 772 of the family's 1533-position model. The record is from RNAcentral.